CUCCCCGCCGCGGCUGAAGGAAAGGCGAGACGAAGAGAAGAAAGAAAUAAAAGACUCCAAAAGCAAAGAGCGUCAGAUCACUGGUAACGGAGCAGCGUCCCGGCUCGCCGCGUGGCGGCGAGGAGGAGGAGGCGUUUUUGUUGUUUGCCGAUACCUCCUUGGUCCUGGGUUCUCGGACCAAAAUACCGCUUAGGUUGCGACCAGCGCAGGAGGCACUGGUUUCUCUUGUUGAGUUCUUUAGUUUGGUGAACUCAUAUACUUUGUUGCCGUUUCAGAGGAAGAUUUGCAGGGCAAGACGGAAGAGGAAAUUGAGAUGAUGAAAAUGAUGGGGUUUGCCUCUUUUGACACGACAAAGGUGAGUGUGGAUCGGGCGAUCCCACGGCUGUGCUGUACGGCUAGAGGUGGAGUCUGGAAACGGCUUUCCACUCUCUCUCCCCCUGGCUGUGAUGUAUGAAGGGUUUGUGCACAAAGGAGUCGUUGAGUCCGCUUGCCCGAACAGUCCCUCGUUAGCACCUGACAGGUCCUAACGAUGAUGUCCGGCUUUGCUCCGUAUGUGCCCAAGUCUCUUUCCCNNNNNNNNNNNNNNNNNNNNNNNNNNNNNNNNNNNNNNNNGCUGUGGUGCUUGGGCACAGAUCAGUGUUUUGCCCCUCGUAGAGGCAUCCUGUGUGAAAUGUCCCGAUCCCACCUGUACGUGUGCUCUCUGCGUUACCGUGCCCUUUCUCCGGCAGGCUCCGGACAGCGCGCUGACUUUUGGACCGUUUUUCUUGUGCCUUUCAGGGGAAGAAGGUGGACGGUGCCGCAAAUGCCUAUGCCAUCAACGUGUCACAGAAGAGAAAAUACAGGCAGUACAUGAACAGAAAAGGAGGAUUCAACAGACCUUUGGAUUUCAUUGCUUGACGCUUGGAUUGCAUCACUCAGGAAUAAAAUGAGAGAGAGGAGGCUGCUGAAGAUCUCUGGGCAGUUAUUUGCCUGAAUGUAGCGGUGGUUCAGAGUAGGCGUUAACAACCCGCAGUACGUGGGUAGCGCUGGAAGAAAGCUGCUUCCAAGGAGCAUGGGAACACGGCGUGAAGAGCUGAACGCCUCCUUGCACGCGUGUGGUCGGAGCUGCGUGGAGCCGGGAGCAGCUACCGAUGGUGUUAAUCCUGCUCUUUGAGCAGGCGGAGUUUGGGAACCUGUGGUUUAGGGUUUCAAGCAGAAAAGCGUUGGUUGUGUUUUUGUUUGUGUAUCGAUUGGCUCACCCCGACGCUUCGCUGCUUCUUAUCUUACUGCUGAAACAGUUGUUUGUGCAGGA
This 1291-nucleotide long non-coding RNA is filed under the name Struthio camelus australis. RNAcentral describes it as "lncRNA (ENSSCUG00000002224.1)". The record is from RNAcentral. Lineage: Eukaryota; Metazoa; Chordata; Aves; Struthioniformes; Struthionidae.